UACGUAGGGGGCGAGCGUUAUCCGGAAUUAUUGGGCGUAAAGAGUGCGUAGGUGGUUAUCUAAGCGUGGGGUGAAAGGCAGUGGCUUAACCAUUGUAAGCCUUGCGAACUGGAUAGCUUGAGUGCAGGAGGGGAAAGUGGAAUUCCUAGUGUAGCGGUGAAAUGCGUAGAUAUUAGGAGGAACACCGGUGGCGAAGGCGGCUUUCUGGACUGUAACUGACACUGAGGCACGAAAGCGUGGGUAGCAAACAGG
RNAcentral lists this ribosomal RNA (252 nucleotides) under uncultured organism. RNAcentral's name for it is "partial 16S ribosomal RNA". It matches the Rfam family "Bacterial small subunit ribosomal RNA", at positions 524 to 776 of the family's 1533-position model. RNAcentral also lists the same sequence under 1 other name. The record is from RNAcentral.